RNAcentral lists this transfer-messenger RNA (364 nucleotides) under Pseudomonas reactans. It matches the Rfam family "transfer-messenger RNA". Rfam says of the family: Bacterial tmRNA, also known as 10Sa RNA or SsrA, is named for its dual tRNA and mRNA-like properties. Its role is to liberate the mRNA from a stalled ribosome. To accomplish this part of the tmRNA is used as a reading frame that ends in a translation stop signal. Lineage: Bacteria; Pseudomonadati; Pseudomonadota; Gammaproteobacteria; Pseudomonadales; Pseudomonadaceae. RNAcentral also lists the same sequence under 3 other names. The record is from RNAcentral.
GGGGCUGAUUCUGGAUUCGACGGGAUUUGCGAAGCCCAAGGAGCAUGCCGAGGGGCGGUUGGCCUCGUAAAAAGCCGCAAAAAAAUAGUCGCAAACGACGAAAACUACGCACUAGCAGCUUAAUACCCUGCUCAGAGCCCUCUCUCCCUAGCCUCCGCUCUUAGGACGGGGAUCAAGAGAGGUCAAACCUAAAAGAGAUCGCGUGGACACCUUGCCUGGGGUGAAAGCGUUAAACCCAAUCAGGAUAGUUUGUUAGUGGCGUGUCUGUCCGCAGCUAACCGGCGAAUGUAAAGACUAGACUAAGCAUGUAGUGCCGACGGUGUAGUAAUUUCGGACGGGGGUUCAAAUCCCCCCAGCUCCACCA